RNAcentral lists this ribosomal RNA (513 nucleotides) under uncultured bacterium. Its description in RNAcentral is "partial 16S ribosomal RNA". It matches the Rfam family "Bacterial small subunit ribosomal RNA", at positions 28 to 507 of the family's 1533-position model. The record is from RNAcentral.
GACGAACGCUGGCGGCGUGCUUAACACAUGCAAGUCGAACGAAAAGAGGGAAAGAGCUUGCUCUUUCCGGAAUUGAGUGGCAAACGGGUGAGUAACACGUAAACAACCUGCCUUCAGGAUGGGGACAACAGACGGAAACGACUGCUAAUACCGAAUAAGUUCCAAGGGCCGCAUGGCCCAUGGAAGAAAAGGUGGCCUCUACCUGUAAGCUAUCGCCUGAAGAGGGGUUUGCGUCUGAUUAGCUGGUUGGAGGGGUAACGGCCCACCAAGGCGACGAUCAGUAGCCGGUCUGAGAGGAUGAACGGCCACACUGGAACUGAGACACGGUCCAGACUCCUACGGGAGGCAGCAGUGGGGAAUCUUCCGCAAUAGGCGAAAGCCUGAAGGAGCAACGCCGCGUGAGUGAUGACGGCCUUCGGGUUGUAAAACUCUGUGAUCCGGGACGAAAAGGCAGAGUGCGAAGAACAAACUGAAUUGACGGUACCGGAAAAGCAAGCCACGGCUAACUACGUG